Molecule: unclassified non-coding RNA, 307 nt
Filed under: plant metagenome
Description: partial contains 5.8S ribosomal RNA, internal transcribed spacer 2, and large subunit ribosomal RNA
Rfam family: 5.8S ribosomal RNA (bases 1-105)
Source: RNAcentral
GAAAUGCGAUAAGUAAUGUGAAUUGCAGAAUUCAGUGAAUCAUCGAAUCUUUGAACGCACAUUGUGCCCGCCAGCACUCUGGCGGGCAUGCCUGUUCGAGCGUCAUUUCAACCCUCAGAACCCCUUGCGGGAUCUGGCGUUGGGGAUUGGCAUCCAGCCAGCCCCGAAAUCUAGUGGCGGUCCCUCCGCGACCUCCCCUGUGCAGUAGCGAUACCUCGCAGCGGGACAGCGGUCUGACCACGUCGUAAAACCCCCAACUUCUCAAGGUUGACCUCGAAUCAGGUAGGAAUACCCGCUGAACUUAAGC